RNAcentral lists this ribosomal RNA (116 nucleotides) under Escherichia coli. The record is from RNAcentral. Lineage: Bacteria; Pseudomonadati; Pseudomonadota; Gammaproteobacteria; Enterobacterales; Enterobacteriaceae.
CCUGGCGGCCGUAGCGCGGUGGUCCCACCUGACCCCAUGCCGAACUCAGAAGUGAAACGCCGUAGCGCCGAUGGUAGUGUGGGGUCUCCCCAUGCGCGAGUAGGGAACUGCCAGGC